This 360-nucleotide RNase P RNA is filed under the name Variovorax sp. PBS-H4. RNAcentral's name for it is "Bacterial RNase P class A". It matches the Rfam family "Bacterial RNase P class A". Rfam says of the family: Ribonuclease P (RNase P) is a ubiquitous endoribonuclease, found in archaea, bacteria and eukarya as well as chloroplasts and mitochondria. Its best characterised activity is the generation of mature 5'-ends of tRNAs by cleaving the 5'-leader elements of precursor-tRNAs. Lineage: Bacteria; Pseudomonadati; Pseudomonadota; Betaproteobacteria; Burkholderiales; Comamonadaceae. The record is from Rfam by way of RNAcentral.
GAAGCGCGCCGGACCGCCGCUGGUGCAAGUCCCGAAAGGGCGCACUGGAGGAAAGUCCGGACUGCACAGGACAGCGCAGGAGUUAACGACUCUCCACCGCGAGGUGAGGAUCAGAGCAACAGAGACGAGUCGGCCGGGGCAACCCGGCCGGGUGAAACGGGCAAUCUCUGCGCGCAGCAACACCAAGUAGGCCAGCCGGGAGUGGCGCGGUUCGCCGCGACUCUCCACCUUGUGGUUCCGCAGGGAGAGCUGGCGGGUAGGUGGCACCGAGCCGUCUGGCGACAGACGGCCCAGAGUAAUGGCGGUUACGUCGGGGGAAACCUCGACGCACAGAAUCCGGCUUACAGGCGCGCUUCACAC